CUCGGACUGGAUUUAAACAGACUAAGUCAUGGCCCCCCCCACUCCACUCCCCGCUUUUCCCCUUCUGGGAGCAGCUGGAUGUGAGGAAAGGGGUUCCGUGAAUGUAGAUGGAAGGUCAGUAACUACAACCGCGAAAAAGCAUCAGUUCUGCCCCUUUGCCAAUUCGGGGGGGAAGAGACGGUUUUUGAAGGACGAAGCUGGGAAGCCUCUCGACCCUGCUCUCCCAAGAGACCUAAGAGAGCCUGUUUAUUGCCAUAACAACCCACUCAAAACCCCUCCCUUCUUUGCUGAAAGGGGCAGAGCUUAAUAUCCUGACCAGGCAUACGUCCUCACCAGGCAGUGUCCAGAAUAUCCCUGGGGGAAUAUACCUACUCUUACCACUCCAAUUGAAGCUCCUACGCCUGUCACUGAAAUGCAACAGUGCCCCGUGAUAAUGUAGAGGGGGAGAGGAGAAACGACCAACAUCCUCACCACCCAGGGGCCAACAAGACCAGUAACAGAAUCGAAGUAGCAAUCUCAGUGGGAAACAUGUGGAUGGUAGAUUUUCCUCCUACUUUUUCCUCAUUGUUUAUAAAAUAA
Sarcophilus harrisii (Tasmanian devil) is the source of this 579-nucleotide long non-coding RNA. RefSeq lists it as uncharacterized. The transcript has 2 exons. The record is from RefSeq and is a predicted model, not a curated record. Lineage: Eukaryota; Metazoa; Chordata; Mammalia; Dasyuromorphia; Dasyuridae.